AAUUGAGAUACAGUUUGCGCAAGGUGACCGCAAAACACCAGGUCAAAUGAAGUCAAAAGAGCGUCACCUGUGCUCCCCGAGUGACCACAGGAGAUCCAGAAGCCCCAGCCAGAGGAGAUCUCGAAGCCGGAGUUCCUCAUGGGGAAGAGACCGGAGGCGCUCCGAUAGCCUGAAAGAGCAGUCUACCUCAGCGAGGCAGUCAAGAACACCACGAAGGAAUUCUGGAUCUAGAGGACGAUCAAGAUCCAAGUCGCUACCGAAAAGGUCCAAAUCGAUGGAAAAGUCACAGUCACGCUCGCCUCAAAAGCAGACUGUCUCGGGAGCAAAACCCAGAUCGCACGGACGGCACUGUGACUCCAUAGCAAGAUCCCCAUGCAAGUCUCCCAGAGGGUACGCCAGUUCGGGGUCGAAGACACAGACAACGAAACAUUCUCACUUCCGGUCACACUCCAGAUCCCGGAGCUACCAUCAUAAAAACAGUUGGUGAACAGCAACUUCCAGCAGAGCCACAGAGCCCUGCUCCAAGUCGUCACGGCUCAUCGUGCUUAAAACUCUUCAAGGCUUGUAGAAAUGCGAACCGGUGUUAGUUACUUCCGGCAUGUGCAAGGAAUAAAAUUGCCCUAGCUUUGGUUAAUAAAUGUUUUAUCUCGAUUUAAGGGCUCAUCCACAACUCACUCACUGUGUGCAAUGUCGCCUUUGCAUAGCCUGUACCUGGUUCACGCGGUAGCGAGGGGUACUUUCCGAAAGAUGUUGGUAAAACGGAACCAAUGCAAAAAUUCUACUUAGGUAUUAAAUACUGUCGACAAUAUCCUU
RNAcentral lists this long non-coding RNA (813 nucleotides) under Rattus norvegicus (Norway rat). Its description in RNAcentral is "long non-coding RNA NONRATT022168". The record is from RNAcentral. Lineage: Eukaryota; Metazoa; Chordata; Mammalia; Rodentia; Muridae.